UUUAAACAUCCUUUUGUGUGUAAGUGUGCAUUAGUACAUGCUAACGAUAUUCAAAAAGUACAUACCUCAAAGAAAACGAUGACGCGAGUUAUCGUCUCUAACGUUCGAGGACUACAAAAAACACUCGGAUUGUAGGCAACAGUUUACUUCCUGGGAUUAGUGACGUAGAUAAGACCAACAUUAUCAUAGUUCAGCCCUCUCUGCUUUGCUUGGGUACGCCCUCAAAGACGAGGGUGGGGAGCGCCGAGUCAGAAGAGAGCUAAAAUGGCGGAGGUUGGGAGUCCCUGCUUUGACUCUGUUUGCAAACUCUUGUUUCAUUGUUUAAGCGAUUAAAUCUCUCGAGUAGACGCUGUCUCUUUAGAUGCGAGGGAAAAUAGCACUUUAUGGACUUCCACAGAGGACAUCAUGUUUAAUACGGUUCCGGAAAAAUCCAGUCAGAAGUUGUUCACGGAGUUUUCACAAUAACUGCUUCUCAUGAACCGAAGCUGGAUUUGCGCGACGUCUCCUCUUGAAAGUUGGAUUACUGUGCACUUCUGGAUCACAGGCUAUUCGCAGCUGGACGCAUCCUUCUACACUGUAUGCAAACAUGCAACAUCAUUACACACAGUACAAGGAGUCAGACUGGCAUAUGAGGAGCAAAGGAACCCAGGCAGUAGCAUCGUUUCACAAUGUUUCCAUCACCAUCAUCAGUGGAUGCCUUUGCCGUCCGUAGCCUGAGAUUUCAGAUUUGCAGCAAAAAAAAUUGAUUUUCUCAUUUAUUGGAAUGCUGUGCAGGUAUUUGUACCUUGCAGCCAUCCAUUACAAUGUCACCAAGCCGUAACAAAAGCAGGAGAGGGAAAGUACAAGGCUAUGUUCCCAAAACACACAAGUGACAUACCUUAUGUGGAUGAUGUGAUCAGGCUUGUGUUUGAUGAGGUAUUUGAAGAUAAGCUGAAGGAAACCCUGAUUCCAAUGGACCUGGCAUCACAGUUUGAGAGACCUUCAAAGGAGGACGUGAUUGCAUGCCAUCUUCAGUGCAGGGGUCGUCGAAAGCCAAAAUUGUGACCGAUCUGAUCAGGAAGCUCCAAGCGUAUCUGGAGAACAACACACGACAGGAUGAUAACCUUAUAGUGUCGUCUUAGAUAGCACCAGCUGACAAA
Molecule: long non-coding RNA, 1139 nt
Organism: Paramisgurnus dabryanus
Lineage: Eukaryota; Metazoa; Chordata; Actinopteri; Cypriniformes; Cobitidae
Source: RefSeq, a predicted model, not a curated record